GAUGAACGCUGGCGGCGUGCCUAAUACAUGUAAGUCGAGCGAACGGACGAGAAGUUUGCUUCUCUGAUGUUAGCGGCGGACGGGUGAGUAACACGUGGAUAACCUUCCUAUAAGCCUGGGAUAACUUCGGGUCACCGGCGCUAAUACCGGAUUAUAUUUUGAACCGCAUGGUUCAAAAGUGAAAGACGGUCUUGCUGUCACUUAUAGAUGGACACACGCUGCAUUAGCAAGUUGGUAAGGUAACGGCUUACCAAGGCAACGAUGCAUAGCCGACCUGAGAGAGUGAUCAGCCACACUGGAUGUUAGACACGGUCCAUACUCCUACGAGAGGCAGCAGUAGGGAAUCUUCCGCAAUGGGCGAAAGCCUGACGGAGCAACGCCGCGUGAGUGAUGAAGGUCUUCGGAUCGUAAAACUCUGUUAUUAGGGAAGAACAGAUGUGUAAGUAACUGUGCACAUCAUGACGGUACCUAAUCAGAAAGCCACGGCUAACUACGUG
RNAcentral lists this ribosomal RNA (497 nucleotides) under uncultured bacterium. RNAcentral's name for it is "partial 16S ribosomal RNA". It matches the Rfam family "Bacterial small subunit ribosomal RNA", at positions 28 to 507 of the family's 1533-position model. The record is from RNAcentral.